RNAcentral lists this ribosomal RNA (253 nucleotides) under uncultured bacterium. RNAcentral describes it as "partial 16S ribosomal RNA". It matches the Rfam family "Bacterial small subunit ribosomal RNA", at positions 524 to 776 of the family's 1533-position model. The record is from RNAcentral.
UACGAGAGGCCCAAACGUUAUUCGGAUUUACUGGGCUUAAAGAGUUCGUAGGCGGCGCAGAAAGUAGGGUGUGAAAGCCCUCGGCCUAACCGAGGAAUUGCGCUCCAAACUACUGUGCUUGAGGAAUCUAGAGGUGAGCGGAACUGAUGGUGGAGCGGUGAAAUGCGUUGAUAUCAUCAGGAACACCGGAGGCGAAGGCGGCUCACUGGGGAUUUUCUGACGCUGAGGAACGAAAGCCAGGGGAGCAAACGGG